GGGAAAGGCGAAAAGAACCCCUGUGAGGGGAGUGAAAUAGAACCUGAAACCGUGUACGUACAAGCAGUAGGAGCACCUUCGUGGUGUGACUGCGUACCUUUUGUAUAAUGGGUCAGCGACUUAUAUUCAGUGGCAAGGUUAACCGUAUAGGGGAGCCGUAGCGAAAGCGAGUCUUAACUGGGCGCUCAGUCUCUGGAUAUAGACCCGAAACCGGGUGAUCUAGCCAUGGGCAGGUUGAAGGUUGAGUAACAUCAACUGGAGGACCGAACCGACUAAUGUUGAAAAAUUAGCGGAUGACUUGUGGCUAGGGGUGAAAGGCCAAUCAAACUCGGAGAUAGCUGGUUCUCCCCGAAAGCUAUUUAGGUAGCGCCUCGGACGAAUACUACUGGGGGUAGAGCACUGUUAAGGCUAGGGGGUCAUCCCGACUUACCAACCCUUUGCAAACUCCGAAUAC
This 454-nucleotide ribosomal RNA is filed under the name Vibrio cholerae. Its description in RNAcentral is "partial 23S ribosomal RNA". It matches the Rfam family "Bacterial large subunit ribosomal RNA", at positions 507 to 963 of the family's 2925-position model. Lineage: Bacteria; Pseudomonadati; Pseudomonadota; Gammaproteobacteria; Vibrionales; Vibrionaceae. The record is from RNAcentral.